UACGUAGGGUGCAAGCGUUAUCCGGAAUCACUGGGCGUAAAGGGUGCGUAGGCGGGUCUUUAAGUCAGGGGUGAAAUCCUGGAGCUCAACUCCAGAACUGCCUUUGAUACUGAGGAUCUUGAGUUCGGGAGAGGUGAGUGGAACUGCGAGUGUAGAGGUGAAAUUCGUAGAUAUUCGCAAGAACACCAGUGGCGAAGGCGGCUCACUGGCCCGAUACUGACGCUGAGACGCGAAAGCGUGGGGAGCGAACAGG
RNAcentral lists this ribosomal RNA (253 nucleotides) under uncultured bacterium. Its description in RNAcentral is "partial 16S ribosomal RNA". It matches the Rfam family "Bacterial small subunit ribosomal RNA", at positions 524 to 776 of the family's 1533-position model. The record is from RNAcentral.